RNAcentral lists this ribosomal RNA (464 nucleotides) under uncultured bacterium. RNAcentral describes it as "partial 16S ribosomal RNA". It matches the Rfam family "Bacterial small subunit ribosomal RNA", at positions 338 to 795 of the family's 1533-position model. The record is from RNAcentral.
CCUACGGGGAGCAGCAGUAGGGAAUUUUCGUCAAUGGGCGCAAGCCUGAACGAGCAAUGCCGCGUGAACGAGGAAGGUCUUCGGAUCGUAAAGUUCUGUUGAAGGGGAAAAAGAGCGGAGAGAGGAAAUGCUUUCUGAUUGAUAUUACCCUUCGAGGAAGUCACGGCUAACUACGUGCCAGCAGCCGCGGUAAUACGUAGGUGGCGAGCGUUAUCCGGAAUGAUUGGGCGUAAAGGGUGCGUAGGCGGCCUGCUAAGUCUGGAGUGAAAGGUACCGGCUCAACCGGUACAGGCUCUGGAAACUGGCGGGAUAGAGAGCAGGAGAGGGCGGUGGAACUCCAUGUGUAGCGGUAAAAUGCGUAGAUAUAUGGAAGAACACCAGUGGCGAAGGCGGCCGUCCGGCGCCCUACUGACGCUGAGGCACGAAAGUGCGGGGAUCGAACAGGAUUAGAUACCCGGGUAGUC